GAUAACUGAAAAGAGAAAGGGAGAAGACAAACCUCACCUCUACGGACAAACACGGAAGAGGAAUUGUGGAUAAUUUGUGCGGUUUCAGUGCAGCGAGUGUUCCAUCGACUUCGACUCGACCUCAGCUUUACCCAGUGUCCAGUGCAUCAGGUUCUAGGCGAGUGUUCCAUCGACUUCGACUCGAUCUCAGCUCUAGCCAGUGUCCAGUGCAUCAGGUUCUAGGGUGAGCUAUUCCUUCUAGCUCGGUUUGAAUUCUCUCGGAUAUGGCCUGAUGUCCUUAGUUUUCGGACACAUUAAGUUAUUUAUUUAUUCUGAUGUUUGAUAUUUUUAGACUUAGUAUUUUAGAAUUAGAUUCCUUGAAGUGAUGACUUUCAGGUUUUGAAAAGACGUAUCUAAUAGAUUUUAGGGGUUUUAUUAUCUCUUACUCUCAUAAAUUGAGCUUCCGCGUUAUUGUCAUAUUUUAU
Long non-coding RNA from Solanum dulcamara, 464 nucleotides. RefSeq lists it as uncharacterized. The transcript is spliced from 3 exons. NCBI's taxonomy places the organism in Eukaryota, Viridiplantae, Streptophyta, Magnoliopsida, Solanales, Solanaceae. The record is from RefSeq and is a predicted model, not a curated record.